AGGCAGCAGUGAGGAAUAUUGGUCAAUGGGCGCUAGCCUGAACCAGCCAAGUAGCGUGAAGGAUGACUGCCCUAUGGGUUGUAAACUUCUUUUAUAUGGGAAUAAAGUGCAGUAUGUAUACUGCUUUGCAUGUACCUUAUGAAUAAGGAUCGGCUAACUCCGUGCC
This 166-nucleotide ribosomal RNA is filed under the name uncultured bacterium. RNAcentral's name for it is "partial 16S ribosomal RNA". It matches the Rfam family "Bacterial small subunit ribosomal RNA", at positions 346 to 509 of the family's 1533-position model. The record is from RNAcentral.